GCUAGUCUAUGUCUGAGUGCACCCAAUCUCAUGUGAUCUCAGAAACUAAGCAGGAUCAGGCCUGGUGUGUACUUGGAUGGCAGACUUGAUAUAAAUCUAGUUCUACCU
RNAcentral lists this ribosomal RNA (108 nucleotides) under Jaculus jaculus (lesser Egyptian jerboa). Lineage: Eukaryota; Metazoa; Chordata; Mammalia; Rodentia; Dipodidae. The record is from RNAcentral.